This 813-nucleotide ribosomal RNA is filed under the name uncultured Gemella sp. RNAcentral describes it as "bacterial SSU rRNA". It matches the Rfam family "Bacterial small subunit ribosomal RNA", at positions 46 to 840 of the family's 1533-position model. Lineage: Bacteria; Bacillati; Bacillota; Bacilli; Caryophanales; Gemellaceae. The record is from RNAcentral.
GCCUAAUACAUGCAAGUCGAGCGAAGUUUUUCUGGUGCUUGCACUAGAGAAACUUAGCGGCGAACGGGUGAGUAACACGUAAAGAACCUGCCUUAUAGACUGGGACAACUAUUGGAAACGAUAGCUAAUACCGGAUAACAGCAUUAACUGCAUGGUUGAUGUUUGAGAGUUGGUUUUGCUAACACUAUGAGAUGGCUUUGCGGUGCAUUAGCUAGUUGGUGGGGUAAAGGCCUACCAAGGCGACGAUGCAUAGCCGACCUGAGAGGGUGACCGGCCACACUGGGACUGAGACACGGCCCAGACUCCUACGGGAGGCAGCAGUAGGGAAUCUUCCGCAAUGGGCGAAAGCCUGACGGAGCAACGCCGCGUGAGUGAAGAAGGAUUUCGGUUCGUAAAGCUCUGUUGUUAGGGAAGAAUGAUUGUGUAGUAACUAUACACAGUAGAGACGGUACCUAACCAGAAAGCCACGGCUAACUACGUGCCAGCAGCCGCGGUAAUACGUAGGUGGCAAGCGUUGUCCGGAAUUAUUGGGCGUAAAGCGCGCGCAGGUGGUUUAAUAAGUCUGAUGUGAAAGCCCACGGCUCAACCGUGGAGGGUCAUUGGAAACUGUUAAACUUGAGUGCAGGAGAGAAAAGUGGAAUUCCUAGUGUAGCGGUGAAAUGCGUAGAGAUUAGGAGGAACACCAGUGGCGAAGGCGGCUUUUUGGCCUGUAACUGACACUGAGGCGCGAAAGCGUGGGGAGCAAACAGGAUUAGAUAUCCUGGUAGUCCACGCCGUAAACGAUGAGUGCUAAGUGUUGGUCUCAUAAGAGAU